UCAAUUGAGAUGACAUCUAGU
Molecule: microRNA, 21 nt
Filed under: Nicotiana tabacum (common tobacco)
Lineage: Eukaryota; Viridiplantae; Streptophyta; Magnoliopsida; Solanales; Solanaceae
Description: nta-miR6025c
Source: miRBase by way of RNAcentral